UCCCUGAGGCUGCCGGAAGCUGAGAGGACACUGCACCCUGGCUGGGUUGGAGAUGAAGCGGGGAGGUGGUCUAUGGGAAGACAAGCUGUUGUUUUAAGGGCUUCGGCCAUACUAGAUGAC
This is a long non-coding RNA of Octodon degus (degu), 120 nucleotides long. RefSeq lists it as uncharacterized. The record is from RefSeq and is a predicted model, not a curated record. The transcript is spliced from 3 exons. NCBI's taxonomy places the organism in Eukaryota, Metazoa, Chordata, Mammalia, Rodentia, Octodontidae.